Molecule: long non-coding RNA, 210 nt
Filed under: Gossypium raimondii (Peruvian cotton)
Lineage: Eukaryota; Viridiplantae; Streptophyta; Magnoliopsida; Malvales; Malvaceae
Description: long non-coding RNA (GRAI_LNC006414)
Source: RNAcentral
GGUCUUGAGUUUACUAUAGCAUCAAAAACGAACCAGGUGUGUAAAAAAUACACAAGAAAUCGAAGUUUGGCGAAAGUUAAAAAAUGGGUCUGUCAAUGCCACACGGGCGUGUGCCUGGCUGUGUGGUCGACCGUGUGCGAGACAAGGUCGUGUAAUAGGAAGUGUGUGGUCGUGUGGGCCACAUGAGAUAGGCCAAAUUGGGCGUGUGGG